Molecule: non-coding RNA, 1706 nt
Organism: Drosophila virilis
Lineage: Eukaryota; Metazoa; Arthropoda; Insecta; Diptera; Drosophilidae
Source: RefSeq, a predicted model, not a curated record
ACUUAUUAGAGUCCAAAAUGUAAUCAACGCACUUUCCUAGCCUAAAGUAAUCACAUAUGAUAGCUAUAGUAAACGUUGUCGGAGAUAUUACCAUAUAAUAUAUACUGACCAAUAACCAAGUGUAAAUUCAUCCUGGAUUUCUCUGUCUAAAUUCAGUUUCCUUAAGUGAGUGAUUAUUUCUGGUUGAGACACAAAGUGCGUUUAAUUAUGACGUUCGAACCUUUUGUCUGGCCUAAACCAAGACAUUAAUUAAAGCAACCAGCUCCCAUUGAUGGUAAAUUCAAUUGAUACUAGCAAACGGAAUACGAGGAAAACUGGAGCAGGACAUAAGCAAGCUCCUUAUCCUUGCCAAGUCAGCGAGCAGCAUUCUUGGCUGACACGUAAAAUAUGCCAGCUGAUGGGAAUUCUGUGGCAUUGCUGGCAUAGCUGGCAGCGUGUAAAAUGAGCGAUAAGCGAGCAAAGCGGCUGCCAACCCUCUUACCCGCUUUCCCACUCUCUGGGCGAAGUGCGCAUCAGCAACGUCUGCAGUUUAUGCGUUGUUGUAGUUAAUAAAGCUCGAAGAGAAGACCACAAGGCACUGUCACAAGGCACAGCAGCCAGAAAAGGCGGAAAAGGCAUCAGCCGACAUCUCCCAAGCAGCGAACAAUCAAUUUCACGUCAAUUGGUUCAUAUUUUAUAGGCUGAGCAGAGUGGAACACAGCAGAGAGGCAAGGGCGAGUGCAGGAAUUCGAUGCUUGCGACUUAAUGACCGCAUUUGUGGCCACGCUUUAAGGUUAUAGUUCAACCAGCGCUUAGCGACGGAGCGUGAGAUGCUGGCUAUGAACUUUUGUCGUACAUUUUGACUGAUGGCUAACAGCAAAACUGUCAAUAUUCUACAAGCAGUGUUUAAGAAGAUAAAAGGAGAGAAUUCAGCUGCUGACAACGUUCGACUACAGGCCGCCAUAGCAAAGCUUGUUACCCAUUUAGACAAAAAAACCUAGGCCGUAAACGAAGGAAACUGAACAAACCAGAAAUUGAGAACAAAGAUCAACGAAGAGAGUACAACGUUGUCCACGAGGACAAAGUGUUGUGUGACGUUCAACGCUGCGUAUAAUUAGUAAUUUCCAAAAGCCAAAGCAAUUUCAAAUUAUAUUAAACAUUUAAUGGUCAACUCUUUUGAACUCAUUUGAAAUGAACGCUAGCUCACAUUGUAUGGCAGCCAUAAUGGCGAUAAGUCUAUGCAUUAUUCAGUGUACUGAACUUGAACUGAUGGUGCGGACAGCUGUCGACUUAUUAAUAAGCUUUGAAUAUGAAUUGGCGAUGGUUCCCAUUGCAGAUGAAGAAGAAAGGAAGGAGUGCAUGGUACAGUAAGCUCUAUUUAGGUUGAACUUUAGCCGGUCAUUUUGUAAAUUUAAUAAACUAACCACGGACUCCUAUUUGCAGCUGGUUAAGGGUUAAGGGUCUCGAAUCGUUAUUUAUUCAUACUUCAUAUUUUUAAAGAUUAAACAAAGAGAGAUUGCAGGUUUGUUGAAUUAUUAAAAUCAACAAGAGUGGAAGUGUCGGGAAAAGUCGCAUCCCAUAUCGUGUCUGAUGCGCUUAGAGCCCAGAAUAUUUGCCGAGGGACACCAGCAACAACGUUAAAUAUGAUGCCAUAAACAUGUCUACCAAUUAUAAUAACAUGUUUCAUAAGAAAUAUGUCGCGUAAUUGUUGAAUUUAAUUAUGUAAA